UUUCCGUAGGUGAACCUGCGGAAGGAUCAUUCAUAAUAAAGUGUUUUAUGGCACUUUUUAAAAAUCCAUAUCCACCUUGUGUGCAAUGUUAGAUCUCGUCAAUCUUGGCGAGAUUUUUAUACACCAACUCAUUCUUUAACUAAUUUGUCUGAAAAAUAUUAUGAAUACUUAAUUCAAAAUACAACUUUCAACAACGGAUCUCUUGGCUCUC
Molecule: unclassified non-coding RNA, 211 nt
Filed under: plant metagenome
Description: partial contains small subunit ribosomal RNA, internal transcribed spacer 1, and 5.8S ribosomal RNA
Source: RNAcentral